ACCACACUGGAGACUUUAAUCAGGUAAUAAAACUUCUCUGCCAUGUAUCUGCUUUAGUUUUAGGAAUUUGAUUUGGGUCAUUCUUAUUUCCCUUCAAGCAAAGGCAUUUGUCUAAAUCAUUAGAAUUAUUAUUUCCCUUGAAGUAUAAAAUGGUGCAUUUAAUUGGUAUAUGAUUGGAUGUAAAAAAGAUUCCAAGUUCUUAAUAUCUCUAAUUAUAGAAUGGCCAUUCAAGAACCAGAGUAGAUCUCAGAAGUUACUGCAGUGUGUCAGUUUCUUAUUAAUAUGGUAGGUGUUUGCAUGUUUGAGCAUCGAUGCAAUUUAGUUCAAAAUAUUAAAUGUUUUAGUUAUGUGAAAUUAUCAUGAGCUCUAACUAUGUUUAUAGGUGGGUUUCCACCAUUUUGAUUUUCUUUUUGGCAUCUCCAGGGAUUAAUUGAGGAUAUAACUGCUAGUUAAUUUAUUUUAUUUCUUUUACUUUUUUAGGCAAAUAUAUAUCAGCAAAAGGCUUUGGA
Molecule: unclassified non-coding RNA, 509 nt
Filed under: Hevea brasiliensis (rubber tree)
Lineage: Eukaryota; Viridiplantae; Streptophyta; Magnoliopsida; Malpighiales; Euphorbiaceae
Source: RNAcentral